Molecule: transfer RNA, 71 nt
Filed under: Bigelowiella natans CCMP2755
Lineage: Eukaryota; Cercozoa; Chlorarachniophyceae
Description: tRNA-Gly for anticodon UCC
Rfam family: tRNA
About the family: Transfer RNA (tRNA) molecules are approximately 80 nucleotides in length.
Source: RNAcentral
GCGCCGAUGGUUUAGUGGUAAAAUAUCUCGUUGCCAACGAGGUGUCCCGGGUUCGAUUCCCGGUCGGCGCA